This 238-nucleotide non-coding RNA is filed under the name Staphylococcus aureus. It matches the Rfam family "S. aureus tsr24 small RNA". Lineage: Bacteria; Bacillati; Bacillota; Bacilli; Caryophanales; Staphylococcaceae. The record is from RNAcentral.
AAAUUAUACGAAGGGACCCAACACAGAAAAUUCAUUUUAUUGAAUUUUACAUUUAUGUGCAAGUUGGGCAAAGUGUUUUAUUUUUUUAAAGUAUGUAAAAGUAAAAUUACAUGUUAAUACGUAGUAUUAAUGGCGAGACUCCUGAGGGAGCAGUGCCAGUCGAAGACCGAGGCUGAGACGGCACCCUAGGAAAGCGAAGCCAUUCAAUACGAAGUAUUGUAUAAAUAGAGAAAAGCAG